GCUGUAGCUCAAUGAUAGAGUGUUUGCCCUGCAAGCAGAAGUUCCUAGGUUUGAUCCCCUCUGGCAUCUCCA
Podarcis lilfordi (Lilford's wall lizard) is the source of this 72-nucleotide non-coding RNA. NCBI's taxonomy places the organism in Eukaryota, Metazoa, Chordata, Lepidosauria, Squamata, Lacertidae. The record is from the annotation of a GenBank genome assembly.